This 380-nucleotide ribosomal RNA is filed under the name uncultured eukaryote. Its description in RNAcentral is "partial 18S ribosomal RNA". It matches the Rfam family "Eukaryotic small subunit ribosomal RNA", at positions 592 to 976 of the family's 1831-position model. The record is from RNAcentral.
CAAUAGCGUAUAUUAAAGUUGUUGCAGUUAAAAAGCUCGUAGUUGGAUUUGUGGCUGUCACGGGCGGCCUAUCACUUAGUGUUAGUGCUUGCCUGUGUCGCCAUCCUUGGGUGGAGCCCGUGUGGCAUUAGGUUGUCGUGCGGGGGAUGCCCAUCGUUUACUGUGAGAAAAUUAGAGUGUUCAAAGCAGGCUUAUGCCAUUGAAUAUGUUAGCAUGGAAUAAUAAGAUAGGACCUCGGUACUAUUUUGUUGGUUUGCGCACCGAGGUAAUGAUAAAUAGGGACAGUUGGGGGUAUUCGUAUUUCAUUGUCAGAGGUGAAAUUCUUGGAUUUCUGAAAGACGAACUACUGCGAAAGCAUUUACCAAGGAUGUUUUCAUUAA